This 448-nucleotide ribosomal RNA is filed under the name uncultured bacterium. Its description in RNAcentral is "partial 16S ribosomal RNA". It matches the Rfam family "Bacterial small subunit ribosomal RNA", at positions 29 to 523 of the family's 1533-position model. The record is from RNAcentral.
AACGAACGCUGGCGGCAGGACUAACACAUGAAAGUCGAGAGAUCUAGCAAUAGAGAGCGGCGCACGGGUGAGUAACGCGUAGGAAUCUACCUUGUAGUACGGAACAACAGUUGGAAACGACUGCUAAUACAGUAUACGCCCUGCGGGGGAAAGAAUUUUGAAAUAAGAUGAGCCUGCGUUAGAUUAUCUAGUUGGCGAGGUAAUGGCGCACCAAGGCUCCGAUCUAUAGCUGGUCUGGGGGGAUGAUCAGCCACACUGGGACUGAGACACGGCCCAGACUCCUACGGGAGGCAGCAGUGGGGAAUAUUGGGCAAUGGGCGCAAGCCUGACCCAGCCAUGCCGCGUGAGUGAUGACGGCCUUAGGGUUGUAAAGCUCUUUUAGUGGUGAGGAUGAUGACGGUAACCACAGAAAAAGCCCCGGCUAACUUCGUGCCAGCAGCCGCCGUAA